Molecule: unclassified non-coding RNA, 329 nt
Filed under: soil metagenome
Description: partial contains 5.8S ribosomal RNA, internal transcribed spacer 2, and large subunit ribosomal RNA
Rfam family: 5.8S ribosomal RNA (bases 1-120)
Source: RNAcentral
GAUGAAGAACGCAGCGAAAUGCGAUAAGUAAUGUGAAUUGCAGAGUUCAGUGAAUCAUCGAAUCUUUGAACGCACAUUGCGCCCCUUGGUAUUCCGAGGGGCAUGCCUGUUCGAGCGUCAUUAUAACCCCUCAAGCUCAGCUUGGUGUUGGGGCCUGCUGCACUGGCAGCCCUUAAAAUCAGUGGCGGCGCCAUCUGGCUCUAAGCGUAGUAAUUCUUCUCGCUAUGGAGUCCUGGUGGAUGCUUGCCAUCAACCCCCAAUUUUUCUAUGGUUGACCUCGGAUCAGGUAGGGAUACCCGCUGAACUUAAGCAUAUCAAUAAGCGGAGGA